RNAcentral lists this long non-coding RNA (1524 nucleotides) under Homo sapiens (human). RNAcentral describes it as "long non-coding RNA NONHSAT196247.1". Lineage: Eukaryota; Metazoa; Chordata; Mammalia; Primates; Hominidae. The record is from RNAcentral.
GUGGAAAUGGCGGCUGUAGCCGAGGGGGCGGCCGGAAAGCAGCGGCGGCGUCUGGGGCGCUUUCGCAACAUUCAGACCUCGGUUGCAGCCCGGUGCCGUGAGCUGAAGAGGUUUCACAUCUUACUCCGCCCCACACCCUGGGCGUUGCGGCGCUGGGCUCGUUGCUGCAGCCGGACCCUGCUCGAUGGGCACGACUGGGCUGGAGAGUCUGAGUCUGGGGGACCGCGGAGCUGCCCCCACCGUCACCUCUAGUGAGCGCCUAGUCCCAGACCCGCCGAAUGACCUCCGCAAAGAAGAUGUUGCUAUGGAAUUGGAAAGAGUGGGAGAAGAUGAGGAACAAAUGAUGAUAAAAAGAAGCAGUGAAUGUAAUCCCUUGCUACAAGAACCCAUCGCUUCUGCUCAGUUUGGUGCUACUGCAGGAACAGAAUGCCGUAAGUCUGUCCCAUGUGGAUGGGAAAGAGUUGUGAAGCAAAGGUUAUUUGGGAAGACAGCAGGAAGAUUUGAUGUGUACUUUAUCAGGUAAGCAUAUAAGAUGGUAAAGAUAGUACAGCCAAAUGAUUUUGUCUGGGCAGGUAGUGGGAGCAUAGCAGGAAUCUUAGCUUCUUUAUAUUUUUACCAUAAAACCAUUGCAGAUUCUAUUCUUUCAAUGUUGCUAUUAAUUACAUCAAGUGAUUUGGGGAAAAUUACAUACAUUUUGUCCCUCCUUCUGUGAAUGGUUAACGGGUAGGUUGCAUUUUAGUUAUAUUUAUAAAUUUAUAUUGUCAUAGAGGAAACCAUUUAAAAGUGCCAUUUAUCACUCUUUUUCAUUUUUAAAUGACAGAUACCUAUGGCAACAUUUGGAAAUUAAUUAGAAAUCUGAAAUGUGGUCCAGUUCUUUUAAAAGUCCCUUCUAUUUACUAGCAGUAAGUUUCCUUUAAUAUCAUUUUCUAGCCCACAAGGACUGAAGUUCAGAUCCAAAAGUUCACUUGCUAAUUAUCUUCACAAAAAUGGAGAGACUUCUCUUAAGCCAGAAGAUUUUGAUUUUACUGUACUUUCUAAAAGGGGUAUCAAGUCAAGAUAUAAAGACUGCAGCAUGGCAGCCCUGACAUCCCAUCUACAAAACCAAAGUAACAAUUCAAACUGGAACCUCAGGACCCGAAGCAAGUGCAAAAAGGAUGUGUUUAUGCCGCCAAGUAGUAGUUCAGAGUUGCAGGAGAGCAGAGGACUCUCUAACUUUACUUCCACUCAUUUGCUUUUGAAAGAAGAUGAGGGUGUUGAUGAUGUUAACUUCAGAAAGGUUAGAAAGCCCAAAGGAAAGGUGACUAUUUUGAAAGGAAUCCCAAUUAAGAAAACUAAAAAAGGAUGUAGGAAGAGCUGUUCAGGUUUUGUUCAAAGUGAUAGCAAAAGAGAAUCUGUGUGUAAUAAAGCAGAUGCUGAAAGUGAACCUGUUGCACAAAAAAGUCAGCUUGAUAGAACUGUCUGCAUUUCUGAUGCUGGAGCAUGUGGUGAGACCCUCAGUGUGACCAGUGAAGAAAACAGCCUUGU